CCAAUUCCUGCGUAGAAAAAUCAUCACGUCGAAAUUUUGUUGGUUAUUAAGAUUAUUGCAGAAAUGUCUAAUUAUUUUUUGCGAUCAACUAAUAGUUCUAGACAUUUGUUGAUAGAUGAUCAAUACUUAGAUGCAACUGAUAAUGAUAAACGUGCGUUAAAAAUGUGGGAUGAAACUAUUUUCAAUAACGGACUCCAAUGAAGUAGUUUUAUAGAUGGCAGAUGCAAGGAUAAAGUUAAAUACGAUAAAUGCGACGAAUACUGGUCUUCUCUUUAUCGUUCUCGUCUCGAUAAUAUACAAUAUAGAUAUGGUUAUAUCGAAACAGUUCUACGCCAUUGUCAAUAUCGUUGAUGUAGCUUACUACUAGAUGAUACGAGUAAUGCUAGAACAGUAACGAGAAAGAGCUAGCAGUAAACGCAGACGACGUAGACGCUGAGAACUGGCUCUGUCCCGCUGCUGCUGUUACUGUUAUUUUUAACUCGACGCCGACGCGUCGAGUCCGUAGUCUAAAACCGUCUACCCUCCUUCCUCCCUGUACUCCACCAGAUCGAGCUUCUCUUCUCUACUUCUUCGUUUUCUUCUAUAUGACCCGAACGAUAGGAAAGACGAUUAGUGAAGUAAUCACUUUGAAUGGUAUUUCCAAAAUGAGGAAUUUUCUACUUUUAAAAAUGAAGAGCGAUAAGUUAAAUUUUAAUGGAAAAAUCCAUUAUUGAAAUCUAUGAUAAUUAGUUCUCGUAACUAUGCAAUUAGGAAUUUUUAAAACUUUUAUCAAUAAUUAUUAUAAAUUCGACUUCAAUUAAAAAUUUUUUCUUCAUUUUGUGUAUUUUUUUUAUAAUUACAUAUUAAACAAUGAUAAAAUUAUAAAGAUUUUAUUUUAUACAAUAAUUUUCUAAAAAUUAUUCGUUACUGAUUUUACUUAAUUUUUUAAUUUCCUAAGAAUAAAAUGUAAAUGUAAUAACAGGAAUUACCAUAUAAAAUUGCCGCGAGAAAGGUAUUUAUUAAAAAAGUUUUAGCAAUGUCCAUCACAAAAGAGUGCCGUGAGCGAAGGAAAAUUUGUUUCGAAACCCAGUUUUCCCGCCAGUCGAAUUGGCAACGCUGCGUAACCAGAGAAAAUCAAGAAAGAACGAGACAAUGCAAUACUGGCAACGUGGAAAAAAGAGAGGGGACGAAAAAGAGAGACCUCGAAACGUGGCAACGCAGCGCCAAUGCGUUGUAGACUCGGUUCCGUACUGAUACCCACGCUCUGAGGUCUCGCACGAUGUCGCUCUUGCGCCGAACAAAAUAUCUCUACACGAACUUUCUACUCGCAAGAAUGGGGUUGUCGGCGCAAUAAUCAUACAACAUUUGAGGGUGGAAUUUUCUUAUUUAACAUAAAAUUCUUUAUCUAUUUUUUAAUUUAGUAUCUAUAAUAUAAUAAGAUUAAAGAAAGAAAUGUUCCAUACUUAAUAUAAUAUUAAAAAUAUUUGAAUUGUAAAAUUAAGUUCUUUAUUUCUAACAUGAUAAAUAUAAUCAAAAAUAUUAUAUUUUUCUUUUUUCAUACUUGACAUAAAUAUUUUAACUGAUAUAUUAUUAAAAUUUUCUGAAAAAUGAUUAUAAA
Long non-coding RNA from Apis cerana (Asiatic honeybee), 1597 nucleotides. RefSeq lists it as uncharacterized. NCBI's taxonomy places the organism in Eukaryota, Metazoa, Arthropoda, Insecta, Hymenoptera, Apidae. The record is from RefSeq and is a predicted model, not a curated record.